GGAAUAUUGCACAAUGGGGGGAACCCUGAUGCAGCCAUGCCGCGUGAAUGAAGAAGGCCUUCGGGUUGUAAAGUUCUUUCGGUAGCGAGGAAGGUAUCAAAUUUAAUAGAUUUGGUAAUUGACGUUAACUACAGAAGAAGCACCGGCUAACUCCGUGCCAGCAGCCGCGGUAAUACGGAGGGUGCGAGCGUCAAUCGGAAUAACUGGGCGUAAAGGGCACGCAGGCGGUUGAUUAAGUGAGAUGUGAAAGCCCCGAGCUUAACUUGGGAAUUGCAUUUCAUACUGGUCAACUAGAGUACUUUAGGGAGGGGUAGAAUCCCACGUGUAGCGGUGAAAUGCGUAGAGAUGUGGAGGAAUACCGAAGGCGAAGGCAGCCCCUUGGGAAUGUACUGACGCUCAUGCACGAAAGCGUGGGGAGCAAACAGGAUUAGAUACCCGAG
This 440-nucleotide ribosomal RNA is filed under the name uncultured Actinobacillus sp. RNAcentral describes it as "bacterial SSU rRNA". It matches the Rfam family "Bacterial small subunit ribosomal RNA", at positions 358 to 790 of the family's 1533-position model. Lineage: Bacteria; Pseudomonadati; Pseudomonadota; Gammaproteobacteria; Pasteurellales; Pasteurellaceae. The record is from RNAcentral.